Molecule: ribosomal RNA, 253 nt
Filed under: uncultured bacterium
Lineage: Bacteria
Description: partial 16S ribosomal RNA
Rfam family: Bacterial small subunit ribosomal RNA
Source: RNAcentral
UACGUAGGGUGCGAGCGUUAAUCGGAAUUACUGGGCGUAAAGCGUGCGCAGGCGGUUUUGUAAGACAGCUGUGAAAUCCCGGGGCUCAACCUGGGAACUGCGGUUGUGACUGCAAGACUGGAGUGUGGCAGAGGGGGGUGGAAUUCCACGUGUAGCAGUGAAAUGCGUAGAGAUGCGGAGGAACACCGAUGGCGAAGGCAGCCCCCUGGGCCAAUACUGACGCUCAGGCACGAAAGCGUGGGGAGCAAACAGG